Molecule: long non-coding RNA, 257 nt
Filed under: Trifolium pratense (red clover)
Lineage: Eukaryota; Viridiplantae; Streptophyta; Magnoliopsida; Fabales; Fabaceae
Description: long non-coding RNA (TPRA_LNC012545)
Source: RNAcentral
UUGUUGUUCUUCUUUUUGGAUUUGUUGAUUUUCAUUAUGGAGAGAUUGUGGUUGUGAUUGUUCGCUAACAGGAUUCUCUUUGUGGUGCUGCGUCGCGGAGGUGGAAAAGAGGAGGCGCGUGAGUGAGUUGGAAAGUGAAGGAGUGAGGUGUUGGGAUCCGGUGCGGAGGAGAGUAGGGUUGGAUGCGGUGGUGGAGAGUAAACGAGAGAAAGAGGUUGAUGUCAUUGUUAGGCAAAUUUGACGAGAAACCAUAAAAC